Carassius auratus (goldfish) is the source of this 1480-nucleotide long non-coding RNA. RefSeq lists it as uncharacterized. The transcript has 3 exons. Lineage: Eukaryota; Metazoa; Chordata; Actinopteri; Cypriniformes; Cyprinidae. The record is from RefSeq and is a predicted model, not a curated record.
ACAAGUGAUGCAAUGCUGCAUUUCUCCAAAUCUCUGACCAUGAAGAAACAAACAAUCCACAUCUCGGAUGGCCUGUACAUUUUUAGCACAUUUCUAUUUUGGGCUUGACUGUUUCCUUUUAAUCAUAAUGAUACAAAAGGAAUGCCCACAUAAAAGGCAAAUAAUUCAUACUUUAAUAAUUUACAUUUCAACACACUACAUUCUAUGGUAACAGCAGUUAUUAAGUGUAAAUUUAGUUUCAUUGUUCAGAGGUUUGUUGACAGAAAGUUAACGUAUAUUCUUCAACAGAUGAAUUCUGACAAACUCAAACAUUAUUUGCAGAUGAUUAUAUUUCUAAAUAAACACAGCGGGAUGCAGGUUCUCGACAUUAAACACAGACGGCAUCACAUUGCCAGGGACGAGUGGACAUGUGUAAUGCAUUUGGUCCAUUUUUAUUUUAUUAUUAUCUACCAUAUUUAGCUGCUCUGAGUCUCUGUCUGGUUCAUGCGCUCAAUCGAGACCCAUAACACAGGAAGAACUAGAAUAAUUCACAGGAAGUACAAGACCUUAACCUCGCCCUUGAGCCCCUUCCAAUAAUGACCUAAACCUGCUGAAGUGUCCUGGAAGAUCCAGAUAAAGCAGGUGCUUUAACGGGGUUUCUACCUGCUCCAGGUGGUUUGGAAAAGAUAUACAAUGUUGCAGAAAGUCAACAUGAAAUCAAACCCGACUCCAGGUGCUUUCUUUCUUCAUACAUGCUACUGAUCUUAUAGUGCACAUUUUUACAAACAAGCUAAAUGAUCUUUCUUCACUAGGAAACACAAGUUAAAUACGGAGUACCAACGGUUUUGUUUUCCAGCAUUGCGUCAUCCUGGAAAGUUUCCGUGUGUCAGCAGAAGGGGCUGAAGAACAGGUUUCGGUUCAGCUACAGAAAGUGUCUUUGCUCUCACAUCACUGGAUGUUUGCAUGCAUAAGUCAUGUGGCAUAUGUGGGAAAAGCAGCUUCUGGUAGAGAACGUACAAUGCCAACAUUUGGAGAGGUUUGGUGUUAUUAUUGCACGUCGUGCUCACAGUGCUGCAGGAGGAGGGAGGAAAUGCAUGCAGGAACCACAGCUUUAAUCGAUAUCUGACCCUCUGGAGAUGGAAGGAAGUGAUGUCAUAGUGGGCAUGAAACAUAACAAUAGUCAGAUUGAAGGAUCAGUUGCUGCAACUAGAAUUGGAAAUGUGGGCCAGAGAGUGAAAAACUACUUUAUUUAAUGUGAAGCGGUGCUGAUACUCACAGAGGAGAUGAAGUUGGAGGCGGUGGUGGUCACAGUGGUGCGGGUGGACGAGCACGAGCUGCGGAGAGCUUUGGCCAGGAACGUCCACAUCACAGCGUUGCAGUCGCAGGCGCUCGUGUCGUGGUGGUGCGUGAAUCUCCUCUGCUCGCCCCAGGUGCGCAGUCCCGUCUCACAGACGCCCUUCAGGUAGUCGGUGCCGAGCGACAGUUUGGCGGAGGAAGACGC